CUACGGGACGCUGCAGUGAGGAAUAUUGCACAAUGGGGGGAACCCUGAUGCAGCAACGCCGCGUGGAGGAUGACGCAUUUCGGUGUGUAAACUCCUUUUAUAUGUCAAGAAAAUGACGGUAGCAUAUGAAUAAGCACCGGCUAACUCCGUGCCAGCAGCCGCGGUAGGAUACGGAGGGUGCAAGCGUUACUCGGAAUCACUGGGCGUAAAGGACGCGUAGGCGGGUUGGAAAGUCAGGUGUGAAAUCCUGCAGCUUAACUGUAGAACUGCACUUGAAACUUCUAAUCUAGAGUAUGGGAGGGGGAGAUGGAAUUAGUGGUGUAGGGGUAAAAUCCGUAGAUAUCACUAGGAAUACCUAAAGCGAAGGCGAUCUCCUGGAACAUUACUGACGCUAAGGCGUGAAAGCGUGGGGAGCAAACAGGAUUAGAUACCCUGGUAGUC
This 441-nucleotide ribosomal RNA is filed under the name uncultured bacterium. RNAcentral's name for it is "partial 16S ribosomal RNA". It matches the Rfam family "Bacterial small subunit ribosomal RNA", at positions 339 to 795 of the family's 1533-position model. The record is from RNAcentral.